Athene cunicularia (burrowing owl) is the source of this 784-nucleotide long non-coding RNA. RefSeq lists it as uncharacterized. Lineage: Eukaryota; Metazoa; Chordata; Aves; Strigiformes; Strigidae. The record is from RefSeq and is a predicted model, not a curated record. The transcript is spliced from 3 exons.
AACAUCAGCUUUGUGUGGCCCAAAUGCUCCUGGGAGGUCUCAGACUCUCCAAAACUUUCAUUUUAGGAGCCAAAGUUCUGAACCAAUUCCCUCCUCACCACCACACUAUAUGCAAUAGCAAUAAUAGGAACACUUGACACGACAGGAGCUGCAAAUGCACAGAUAGCCUGUUUUAGGAGAGUGAUGGAUAGUGCAAAUGAAAUGUCAUUCCCUGAGAUCUCUGUCAUGUUUGCUACAUUAAACCAACACCCUCUCUGGCCUAUAUCUUCUGUUUCCCUGGCCUGAAACAGUCUUGGAGUCUCAGCUGGCUCUUGCCAAAAUGUACCAGAAUGGAUCUUCUCCUCUACCUGGCUCCUUUGGUGAUGGAUCGCCAGCAUUGACAGAGCUUCUCCAAUAGCCAGACCUCAAGGAGUAGAGAACAACCUCUCUCCAAAAAUUUCAUCUACAUGACUGAGUCCAGACUGAAGAGGAAUGGGAAGUGGAAAACUCAAGAAAUCCAUUUCUGUUUUUAUUGCUGACAGUCAUAAAGUCUUUAUGAUUCCAUCUGUAUGACUGCAAUAUCUUUGGUUUUUGCCUAACAACAGGAUGAUCGUACAGCAAAUUAAGGACAAGCCUAAAACUUUUUCUUAACACUGUGGGUCAGUUAUCAUGGACCUCAUUAGCAAAAAUUGAUCUUCAGUAUUAUGCUUGGUAUCAGAGCUCAUCUUUUAGGGAGAGGGUCAUAGGGUGUUUGUUUAACCUUUCAAAUGUAUAUAAUCAUAUAUUAUCCCUCAUAAGUUAAAAA